RNAcentral lists this ribosomal RNA (526 nucleotides) under uncultured bacterium. RNAcentral describes it as "bacterial SSU rRNA". It matches the Rfam family "Bacterial small subunit ribosomal RNA", at positions 9 to 522 of the family's 1533-position model. The record is from RNAcentral.
GAGUUUGAUCAUGGCUCAGGACGAACGCUGACGGUGUGCUUUAGGCAUGCAAGUCGAACGAGAAAGCCCUUCGGGGUGAGUACAGUGGCGAACGGGUGAGUAACACGUGGGCAACCUGCCCCUCGCAGGGGGACAACCGGAGGAAACUCCGGCUAAUACCCCGUACGCUUGUUGGGUCGCRUGGUCCGGCAAGGAAAGGUAGCUUCGGCCAUCCGGCGAGGGAUGGGCCCGCGCUGCAUUAGCUAGUUGGUGGGGUAACGGCCCACCAAGGCGACGAUGCGUAGCUGGUCUGAGAGGAUGAUCAGCCACACUGGGACUGAGACACGGCCCAGACUCCUACGGGAGGCAGCAGCCAGGAUACUUGGGCAAUGGGCGCAAGCCUGACCCAGCAACACCGUGUGGGCGACGAAGGCUCUAGGGUCGUAAAGCCCUGUUGAUAGGGACGAAGGGCGAAGGGUUAAUAGCCCCUAGCUUGACGGUACCUUUCGAGGAAGCCCCGGCUAACUACGUGCCAGCAGCCGCGGUU